GCUCAGUUAGUUAAGUAUCCAACUCUUGAUUUCAGCUCAGGUUAUGAUCUCAGGGUUGUGAGAUCAAGUCUCUCAUUGGGCU
Molecule: transfer RNA, 82 nt
Filed under: Canis lupus familiaris (dog)
Lineage: Eukaryota; Metazoa; Chordata; Mammalia; Carnivora; Canidae
Also listed under: 1 other name
Source: Rfam by way of RNAcentral